RNAcentral lists this microRNA precursor (88 nucleotides) under Python bivittatus (Burmese python). RNAcentral's name for it is "microRNA pbv-mir-9 precursor (pbv-mir-9-2)". Its record names the gene pbv-mir-9-2. The stretch from base 8 to 83 matches the Rfam family "mir-9/mir-79 microRNA precursor family". Rfam says of the family: The mature ~21nt miRNAs are processed from hairpin precursor sequences represented here. miR-9 is processed from the 5' arm of its precursor, and miR-79 from the 3' arm. The bounds of the precursors are predicted based on conservation and base pairing and are not generally known. The record is from miRBase by way of RNAcentral. Lineage: Eukaryota; Metazoa; Chordata; Lepidosauria; Squamata; Pythonidae.
AGGAAGCGAGUUGUUAUCUUUGGUUAUCUAGCUGUAUGAGUGUGUUGGCCUUCAUAAAGCUAGAUAACCGAAAGUAAAAACUCCUUCA